RNAcentral lists this ribosomal RNA (443 nucleotides) under uncultured bacterium. RNAcentral describes it as "partial 16S ribosomal RNA". It matches the Rfam family "Bacterial small subunit ribosomal RNA", at positions 338 to 795 of the family's 1533-position model. The record is from RNAcentral.
CCUACGGGAGGCAGCAGUGGGGGAUAUUGGACAAUGGGGGGAACCCUGAUCCAGCGACGCCGCGUGAGUGAAGAAGUAUUUCGGUAUGUAAAGCUCUGUCAGCAGGGAAGAAAGAAAUGACGGUACCUGACCAAGAAGCCCCGGCUAACUACGUGCCAGCAGCCGCGGUAAUACGUAGGGGGCAAGCGUUAUCCGGAAUUACUGAGUGUAAAGGGAGCGUAGACGGUUAAGUAAGUCUGGAGUGAAAGGCCGGGGCGCAACCCCGGGACUGCUCUGGAAACUAUUGAACUUGAGUGCAGGAGAGGUAAGCGGAAUUCCUAGUGUAGCGGUGAAAUGCGUAGAUAUUAGGAGGAACACCAGUGGCGAAGGCGGCUUACUGGACUGUAACUGACGUUGAGGCUCGAAAGCGUGGGGAGCAAACAGGAUUAGAUACCCCUGUAGUC